CCUCUGCUUCUCAGUGGAUUUUUUUUCUAAUUAAUCAAUACUCGAACCAGCGCUUGUAGUUUUCACCGCUUCGCAUUCUCCACAAACGUACGUCGGCAGACGAAAAUAACCGCUAUAUAGUAAACGAAGUUUGGAAAGGUACGGCGGGGAUUGCAACAAAAAGAAGAAAAACAUGGUGAAGGGUCUGCUCGCAAAAUUGUAUCUGGUUUCCAAAGGGACUUCGUUGCGUCAAUUUUUGGAAUAAAAUAUCGAAAUUGAGGCUCAGCUAUUUCGAACUGUUCAAUCAUUCAACGGUGUACCAAAGGGAAUUCGAGGGAAUUCGCGAUGAUGGUUGAAGGGAAAAAUCGAUCUGUUACCGUUAUCUCCUGCUUCGAGACGCUAUCAUUGGAGCUGAUAAGUUAUCGAAACCAUUUGAAAUUUUAAUGUCAGAGAUGAAACUAGAAUCGACCGGAAGUCAGAGAGAAAAGGCAUUUGAUUGUGUGGUGGUGUUGAAGCAAUGUUCAAUAAUGCAAUAAAAUUUUAAAACAAAUAUAAAA
Venturia canescens is the source of this 536-nucleotide long non-coding RNA. RefSeq lists it as uncharacterized. The record is from RefSeq and is a predicted model, not a curated record. NCBI's taxonomy places the organism in Eukaryota, Metazoa, Arthropoda, Insecta, Hymenoptera, Ichneumonidae. The transcript has 2 exons.